Molecule: ribosomal RNA, 563 nt
Filed under: uncultured bacterium
Lineage: Bacteria
Description: bacterial SSU rRNA
Rfam family: Bacterial small subunit ribosomal RNA
Source: RNAcentral
CCUACGGGAGGCAGCAGUAAGGGAUAUUGCGCAAUGGGCGAAAGCCUGACGCAGUAACGCCGCGUGCGGGAAGAAGGCCUUCGGGUCGUAAACCGCUUUUCGGAGGGACGAGGAAGGACGGUACCUCUGGAAUAAGUCUCGGCUAACUACGUGCCAGCAGCCGCGGUAAGACGUAGGAGGCGAGCGUUAUCCGGAUUCACUGGGCGUAAAGCGCGUGUAGGCGGAAAUUUAAGCGUGGCCUGAAAGCCCCCGGCUCAACCGGGGAGUGCGGCUGUGAACUGGGUUUCUUGAGGACGAUAGAGGAGGGUGGAAUUCCUGGUGUAGCGGUGAAAUGCGUAGAUAUCAGGAGGAACACCCGAGGCGAAGGCGGCUCUCUGGGUCGUACCUGACGCUGAGGCGCGAAAGCGUGGGGAGCGAACGGGAUUAGAUACCCCGGUAGUCCACGCCGUAAACGAUGGUCACUAGGUGUGUGUGGUAUCGACCCCGCACGUGCCGCAGCUAACGCAAUAAGUGACCCGCCUGGGGAGUACGGCCGCAAGGUUGAAACUCAAAGGAAUUGACGG